Populus euphratica (Euphrates poplar) is the source of this 515-nucleotide long non-coding RNA. RefSeq lists it as uncharacterized. The record is from RefSeq and is a predicted model, not a curated record. The transcript is spliced from 3 exons. NCBI's taxonomy places the organism in Eukaryota, Viridiplantae, Streptophyta, Magnoliopsida, Malpighiales, Salicaceae.
UUUCCGUUACACUUGUCAUAAAAACGUGUCUUAACCGUCAGCUACUCUUGUAAUAAACGCUGUGUGUCAAAAAAAAGAAAGAAAAAAAUCCUAAUUCAAUCGACCUAGGGUUUCUCGAUCUCCCAUUCAAUCCUCAACAAAAAUGGACGCCAUAGAUUCCGUCGUCGAUCCUCUCAGAGAAUUCGCUAAAGACAGCGUCCGACUCGUCAAACGCUGCCACAAACCCGAUCAAAAAGAAUUCACAAAGGUGGCGUCUCGUACUGCAAUUGGAUUCGUGGUUAUGGGAUUUGUUGGAUUCUUCGUGAAGUUGAUUUUUAUCCCAAUUAAUAAUAUCAUUGUUGGGGCUUCUUAGGCUGUAUGGAUCAUCAACAAUUAGAAUAUGAAGGCAGUCUGCUUGGAAAUUUGUUUUUAAUGAGAAGCUUAGCUUUUAACUUGCUUAAUUUCCUUUUUGAUAUGUUUGCAAUACUCCAUAGACCAGGUAAUCACAAUAUAAAAAACUUUAUAAUUUUUGUUAA